RNAcentral lists this ribosomal RNA (250 nucleotides) under uncultured bacterium. Its description in RNAcentral is "partial 16S ribosomal RNA". It matches the Rfam family "Bacterial small subunit ribosomal RNA", at positions 525 to 775 of the family's 1533-position model. The record is from RNAcentral.
ACGGAGGAUGCGAGCGUUAUCCGGAUUUAUUGGGUUUAAAGGGUGCGUAGGCGGAGCGUCAAGUCAGCGGUAAAAAUUCGGGGCUCAACCCCGUCGUGCCGUUGAAACUGACGCCCUUGAGUGAGCGAGAAGUAAGCGGAAUGCGUGGUGUAGCGGUGAAAUGCAUAGAUAUCACGCAGAACGCCGAUUGCGAAGGCAGCUUACCGGCGCUCAACUGACGCUGAGGCACGAAAGUGCGGGUAUCGAACAG